This 2269-nucleotide long non-coding RNA is filed under the name Equus caballus (horse). RNAcentral's name for it is "lncRNA (ENSECAG00000054273.1)". The record is from RNAcentral. Lineage: Eukaryota; Metazoa; Chordata; Mammalia; Perissodactyla; Equidae.
GGGUAUUUAGAUUUCAGACAGAUUUUUUUUAAUGAUGAAGAAUAGCAAAUAGUAGAAAGGAAAUAUUUCCUGUUGCAAGUAAGAUAUGUUAUAUUCUGUGUUACUAGUGGAAGCCAGAUUAAUAUGCUUUGGAAAUCAUGCAAAUGGGUGAUGAGGUUGACAUUCUACUUUGAAAGCUCAUAAGCAUAACCAGUGUUCCAGCCCCAAUGGAAGGUUGUGGCACCAGAGACGGCCUGUAGGAGUCUCUCACAGGCUGGGUUAGGUUCCUUGGAACAACGCUGGGUCUGUUCCAAAUCUUGGACAAGGUCUCUGAUGAAUCUUCAAGUUCCACUCUGUAGAGCAUGGCAGCCCUGCCUUUGUGCCUGUUGGGGUGCAACAUUGCAGAACCCUUGAGAAAGAAAGUUUGAAAAUCCAGAUCCCAUUGGAGAACACCUGCAAAUGCUUCUCCACUUAGCGUCAGCAGGCCAGAGCCUCUUCUCAUCUCCCUUGUCUGGAGGCAGCUCUACCAAAGGUAGAAAAACUCCUAGAGUUCAAGGAAGAGGAAUGAUUUAGGGUAAAAUGGCCCAGCAUGGGUUUCUGGCAGAAUCCCAAAGCUCAGGUCUGGUUGGCACUGCAUUCCUGGGUGAGUGCCUCCGGAGGCUGAGGAGUAGCCACGGCCAUCUCUGCCAGAUUCCUCUGUAAUGAAGUCAGCUGUCAACUCCUUGGGGGGAAAAGCACAGAGCCCCUUUAUUUCCAAGCAGGUGUUGCAGCAUAUUAAAGGUUGAAUUCCAUCUUGUGCUCACAUCCUGAAUGAGCCAGUUUGCAGGCAAGCUCGGUUCUUUCUGCAAAGAGGGAAACUUGGCAAUGGUGAAGGCUGAGUACUUAAAUGGCAAUCAACUUCUGGCUCAUAUCAAUUAAUUCCUUCAUGGACUUCUGCCUAAGUAUAGCAUCUUGAAUUCCCAGCUGCAGAGGCUAUGAAAAACAGCCCAAACAACACACGCCACGAUCCAGGGCGGGCAUACCGGUGAAAUGAUGAUGGGUGAUGAUAUCUUACGGCAACAAUGGACACCUAUUGGGGGCUCUCUCUUUGUUUACCUGGAGAAUACAGGGCAGGACAUACACCCCUUUCUCUGGCUGGGAAAUUCUUCAAGAAAACUUUUAUUAUGACUAAGUGAAACCAUUCUGAGGGGAAUCACCUCCUUUCAGCUUUAAAAUAUCCAGAUCCAAAAUGACCGUGAGAUGUGGAAGCAGACCGGGGACUAGGAAAUCAGAGAAGGAUUUUGUUGUCACUCAGACACCUGGAAAGCCUAUUCAAAAAAUGGUCCUCAUCCCAAGGAACCUACUAGACUCCUCUCCAUCUCUCUCUAACAUGAACAAGGAGCAUCUUGAUCAAGAGCUGCAGACAGACUGAGGGAAAAUGAAGUGACACUUUAAUCUACAACAUCCAGCCCCCCAUCUUAUAUCUUAUGGAAUGAGGAUUUAGGAGAUUCAGCCUCUCUCUGUUGAUGGUAACUUCAGAGCUCCAAGGACGAAUCUCCACUCAAAGGCAAGAACACAGAAUAAAAACAGACGCUUUCGACCUAGAAAAAUUAUACAAUGAAAAGGGAGAAAAUGAACCUAAUAUGCAAAAAAAAUAUGAGAGAUAAAAAAACGUAAUUUGAAGUAAAUUUUACAGCAGAAGACACACACAAAAAGUAUACAACUCCAUCAUGCUCCUAAGAAAAGGAAAGGAAAAGUGAACUUAUCAAACAAGAAAUGGGAGAAGAUAACAAAAUGAAAAGGGACCUGGACAGAUCUAACUCCUCUGAUUUUUUUUCUUUUAUUUCUUUUGAACAUCGGUGAGGACCUAAGGUGGAAAUAUGUGUCUAUUUUGGGCUGGAGUAGUUAAGAAACAGAGAUGCUCUUCCCCAGGUCCAGGACUUCAUGAAACAGGGGGUGACAGCUUCCUGUUUUCUUCAUUCUUUUUGGCUCUGAGCUCGUGCUGUUGCUGAAGCAGAAAGCAUCCCUGAAGGCACUGGAGAUUUGAGGAAAUCGCAGGAAGAAUGACACUUCAAUUCCACAGAAAAGAAAAAUCCAAAUGAAUGUUAGAUUUUCCUAAAAUGUCUCAAAAUGUCCCUCUGCCACUUUUACAGCUCCAUCUCUAAUCUCUGAAUAUCUGCACUUUGGCCAUCUCUUUGGUCUACUUGUCUCUUGUCAAUCAUGAGUUUGGUGUCACACUGUCCAACUUUGAGCAAUAUAUUAAGAUAUUUUCCUAAUUGUAUUGUAUUUAUUGUUUUUCUUUAUAUAGUUG